RNAcentral lists this transfer RNA (91 nucleotides) under Patescibacteria group bacterium. RNAcentral describes it as "tRNA-Ser". It matches the Rfam family "tRNA". From Rfam's summary of the family: Transfer RNA (tRNA) molecules are approximately 80 nucleotides in length. The record is from RNAcentral.
GGUGGGUUCGCAUAGUGGACUAGUGCGCACGCUUGGAGAGCGUGUAUCCGCCCCUGGCGGAUCGUGGGUUCGAAUCCCACACCCACCGCCA